This 497-nucleotide ribosomal RNA is filed under the name uncultured bacterium. Its description in RNAcentral is "partial 16S ribosomal RNA". It matches the Rfam family "Bacterial small subunit ribosomal RNA", at positions 28 to 507 of the family's 1533-position model. The record is from RNAcentral.
GAUGAACGCUGGCGGCGUGCCUAAUACAUGCAAGUCGAGCGAACAGACGAGGAGCUUGCUCCUCUGACGUUAGCGGCGGACGGGUGAGUAACACGUGGAUAACCUACCUAUAAGACUGGUAUAACUUCGGGAAACCGGAGCUAAUACCGGAUAAUAUAUUGAACCGCAUGGUUCAAUAGUGAAAGACGGUUUUGCUGUCACUUAUAGAUGGAUCCGCGCCGCAUUAGCUAGUUGGUAAGGUAACGGCUUACCAAGGCAACGAUGCGUAGCCGACCUGAGAGGGUGAUCGGCCACACUGGAGCUGGGACACGGUCCAGACUCCUACGGGAGGCAGCAGUAGGGAAUCUUCCGCAAUGGGCGAAAGCCUGACGGAGCAACGCCGCGUGAGUGAUGAAGGUCUUCGGAUCGUAAAACUCUGUUAUUAGGGAAGAACAAAUGUGUAAGUAACUAUGCACGUCUUGACGGUACCUAAUCAGAAAGCCACGGCUAACUACGUG